CGGGACACGUGGUAUCCUGUCUGAAUAUGGGGGGACCAUCCUCCAAGGCUAAAUACUCCUGACUGACCGAUAGUGAACCAGUACCGUGAGGGAAAGGCGAAAAGAACCCCGGCGAGGGGAGUGAAAAAGAACCUGAAACCGUGUACGUACAAGCAGUGGGAGCACGCUUAGGCGUGUGACUGCGUACCUUUUGUAUAAUGGGUCAGCGACUUAUAUUCUGUAGCAAGGUUAACCGAAUAGGGGAGCCGAAGGGAAACCGAGUCUUAACUGGGCGUUAAGUUGCAGGGUAUAGA
RNAcentral lists this ribosomal RNA (293 nucleotides) under Escherichia coli. RNAcentral's name for it is "partial 23S ribosomal RNA". It matches the Rfam family "Bacterial large subunit ribosomal RNA", at positions 418 to 713 of the family's 2925-position model. Lineage: Bacteria; Pseudomonadati; Pseudomonadota; Gammaproteobacteria; Enterobacterales; Enterobacteriaceae. The record is from RNAcentral.